UAAGGAAUAUUGCACAAUGGGCGAAAGCCUGAUGCAGCAACGCCGCGUGAGCGAUGAAGGCCUUCGGGUCGUAAAGCUCUUUUCUGGGGGAUGAGCAAGGACAGUACCUCAGGAAUAAGUCUCGGCUAACUACGUGCCAGCAGCCGCGGUAAGACGUAGGAGGCUAGCGUUAUCCGGAUUUACUGGGCGUAAAGCGCGCGUAGGCGGCUUUAUUAGUCGGGCGUGAAAUCUCCUGGCUCAACUGGGAGGGGUCGUCCGAUACUGUAGAGCUUGAGGGUAGGAGAGGGAGACGGAAUUCCCGGUGUAGUGGUAAAAUGCGUAGAUAUCGGGAGGAACACCAGUGGCGAAAGCGGUCUCCUGGCCUACCCCUGACGCUGAAGUGCGAAAGCGUGGGGAGCGAACGGG
Molecule: ribosomal RNA, 405 nt
Filed under: uncultured bacterium
Lineage: Bacteria
Description: bacterial SSU rRNA
Rfam family: Bacterial small subunit ribosomal RNA
Source: RNAcentral